GGGGACGCAUUUGAUUCGACGGAUCAUUUACAUUUAGGCGAAACGCAGACCGAGAAGUUCGGCCAACUCGCUUGCCCUUCCAUAGCCCUUGGCGAAGGAGGGUAAAAGUUCCGAACAAUAAUACGUGCAAACGUAUUCAAAUUUGAUGGUGCUUUGGCACCCGCUAUGGCGUAAGUUAUAGCUGCUUCCUUGCGAAAGAAUCGCAAGCAUCGGACCAUGAUGCCUCUUGGUGGGUUCCCGGUGUUAUAUCGAGGCUGGACUCUCGCCAACCGGUAACGGGAGCGACGAAUACCGGAAACGAUCGCUGAGUAUGUUGCAGGAUGUGAAGCUCGCGAUUCGUACAUAAUCCUGCUAUGUCUGUAAUCAUCGUUUUGUUUAGAUGAAGAUUCGGACGAGGAGUCACUCUCCUCCGUCUCCAUUA
Molecule: transfer-messenger RNA, 421 nt
Filed under: Candidatus Sungiibacteriota bacterium
Lineage: Bacteria; Candidatus Sungiibacteriota
Also listed under: 1 other name
Rfam family: transfer-messenger RNA
About the family: Bacterial tmRNA, also known as 10Sa RNA or SsrA, is named for its dual tRNA and mRNA-like properties.
Source: RNAcentral